UCAAAUCCCCAUUCGUCAGAUUCUCUUCUUCUAGGGUUUGAUCAACAACGUCGUCAUGGAAGAAGAAAUCGUUCCAACUCUUCCUUUGCCGGAAGCCUUUCUCAAUUUCCUGAACGAAAAUGGUUUAGAUUCUUCAAUCUAUUCUUCUACAACUACAAAUACCACUCCGCGUUAUAUCAGAGUAAAACCAAGUGAAGGUGAAGCUCAUAUUCCAGAACUUGAAGCUGAAAUCAAUUGUAAACUUGAUAAAGUUGAUUGGUUGCCCAAUUUCUAUUCUAUACCACCACAUAUUCAAAUUGCUUCGACCAAUUCUUAUCGACAAGGAAAUGUGUAUGGAAUGGAUGCAGUAUCUGGAGCUGCUGUUUUAGCUUUGAAUGUUGUGCCGGGUGAUCAUGUGCUUGAUCUUUGUGCUGCCCCAGGUGCUAAGUUAUGUAUGCUCGCAGAUCUUCUUGGUUCCAGUGGUUCCUUAACCGGUGUUGACAUUGCAAAACAUCGUUUAGCAGCCUGUCGCACAAUGCUACAGAAAUAUUCACUGAGUGAUCAUUGUCGUCUCUUUGUUGCUGAUGGGACAUCAUUUUCUCUCGUUCCAUUGAGGGUUAGUGAAUCUGGGAACAAGUCUUUGAAAUCUACGGAUACACUUUUGUGUGAGGAUACAAUGGAUACAUAUAAAGAGUGGACGUCGAAGAGAUCCUGGAAAGAAAGGAAAAGAGCUCAAAAAGAGAGGAAUGGGAUUACAUCGCAUUUAGCAGCCUGUCGCACAAUGCUACAGAAAUAUUCACUGAGUGAUCAUUGUCGUCUCUUUGUUGCUGAUGGGACAUCAUUUUCUCUCGUUCCAUUGAGGGUUAGUGAAUCUGGGAACAAGUCUUUGGCAUUUAUGUUUUACACAGAAAUCUAUGGAUACACUUUUGUGUCGAAUUACCAAAGAUUAGUUCAGAUAGUUCCAAAGUCUCAUGAACCUGAACUAAUCUUCUAUGGUCGACAAUCAGGAGUAGUUGGACUUAGUAAAAGGGAAAUAUUGCAAGCUGCGUCUGGCAACGAUCUCUCAGACACUGGUUAUGAUAAGGUUCUGGUGGAUGCAGAGUGUACUCAUGAUGGAUCAAUUAAGCACAUUCAGAAGUUUGAUCAGUGGGGUUGGAAAACUCUUCAACAUGGAGUGCUAGAUGCGGAAAGAACUGACACCUUGGCUAAUCUUCACGCAACUAUUGCAACUUCUUAUUAAUGGUUUCAGAUUAUUAAAAGUUGGUGGCAUGCUUGUUUACAGCACUUGCAGUUUGACAGUGGCUCAAAAUGAGGAUAUAGUGGAGCAAUUUUUAUCUGCUCAUCCUUCUGCUGAAUUGCAGGAGAUUGAUGCUGCAAAGAACUGGUCAUGUAAGAGCGGAAAGGUACCAAAGACCUUGCGGUUUGAUCCUUUGACUUCCAACACCAGUGGACUUUUUGUUGCUAGUUUCACAAAAUUGGGAGUGUAACUAGAUUCGGAAAUUCUCUUAUAAAAAUCCAAGUUCCACUGCAUUAUAUUGGCACCUGGUGAUGAAUGACUCAACACCAUUCGAAAUUAAACUAGAAGCGGUAUUUGGUAAUGCAGGAAUGGUGAAAAUUUGCCACUACUGUAUAGACCAAGUAGAGGUGCCUUGAUGGCAAGGGCUUCAUGUUGAUCCAACAUGUCCUGGUUUGCGUACAAUUACAGCAGAGCUUCUUGUUGCGCCACUGGAGGAAGAGGAGAAAGCCUCUGCAUCCAUUUUCACACUCACUGGUUCACAGAAAUCCUGAAUAUUUAAGACGUCUCAAGUGAUGAUUGUCCAAGUACGUUCUAAUCGGAGUCACCAGGUGUCUUAAGUGAUGAAAUCCUAGUCAGUGUCACCAGGUGUCAACUAAACAUUUCCUUCUCAGUGCUACAUUUGUGAGGUGAAGGUAACCUCCUACAUUUGUGCCGGUCCUCUCAAGUUAUGCAUUUAUCUUUCCUUUCGGUUAGGUUCUAAUCAAUUGGAUAAGCCAGUACCUUUGCAGAACUUGGAUUUUCUUGGUCGAAAAUGUACCCUUGUUUUGGGGAAAGGUGAUGCACUUAAUAAUAAUUAUUGUGGUCUAA
RNA transcript from Papaver somniferum (opium poppy), 2083 nucleotides. It is a transcript of the gene named ribosomal RNA small subunit methyltransferase F-like, with no coding region annotated. The record is from RefSeq and is a predicted model, not a curated record. The transcript is spliced from 11 exons. NCBI's taxonomy places the organism in Eukaryota, Viridiplantae, Streptophyta, Magnoliopsida, Ranunculales, Papaveraceae.